GGGAUCAUAGUAUAGCGGUCAGUACUUCUCGUUGCGGUUGUGAUUCUGUCUCUGUCUUAUAAGAUACAGCUACAACAUAUCCGAAAGGACCUAGGUUCGAUUCCUCGUUACCCAUCCCCU
Molecule: non-coding RNA, 120 nt
Organism: Diplogelasinospora grovesii
Lineage: Eukaryota; Fungi; Ascomycota; Sordariomycetes; Sordariales; Diplogelasinosporaceae
Source: the annotation of a GenBank genome assembly